AUACUCUGGUUUCUCUUCAGGUCAUAUAAAUCUUUCUCCUUUUACUAAAGAUUUCCGUGUUAGGAAGUGGAAAGACUUGGAAAAAAUUAUAUUAAGUGAAGU
This 102-nucleotide small nuclear RNA is filed under the name Dipodomys ordii (Ord's kangaroo rat). RNAcentral's name for it is "U5 spliceosomal RNA". It matches the Rfam family "U5 spliceosomal RNA". Rfam says of the family: U5 RNA is a component of both types of known spliceosome. Lineage: Eukaryota; Metazoa; Chordata; Mammalia; Rodentia; Heteromyidae. The record is from Rfam by way of RNAcentral.